UGCAUAAUUUCACUUUACCAAAAAGAUUAACACAACACAGAUAAAGGCAGAAAGAAAGAUUCAUCAGAAAUGCUAAAGUAAGUUUUUUGUAACUCAAGAGUAUAUAGUUUUAGAUAUUCCAAAGGUAUCCCAAUAUUCAAGAAUAAAAUAAAAGCUUCAUGUACAAAAUGUCCAAUUUAUUUUAAAAUCAUUUUUUCAAUAUUUCCACAGUAGUAGGUAUAUAUAUAAGGAAGGUUUUAUGUCCUCCUUUCCUUCCGUAGGGUUAGGACAGAUCUAAGUUUCACAGAUCAAAUACAUACCAUGCUGACAUCAGAAAACAGGCAACUUAUUUUAAAUAGAUGGUAAAAUUUCAUACCUCCUAAAAAACAAUUUUAGAGUUUACAUGAAGUUAGAGAAAAAUUAGUCUGUAUCACAGUAUAAGCUAUCAUUAAGAAGAGAUACACUAAUUGACAUUUCACAAAUAUCCUUAAAAGCACUCCAAGUAUGUAUCAUACUAAAGUUAGACAUAUACAUACUCCAUGAUUCAGCAGUUCCAUUCCUGUGCAUAUACUCAUCAAAAAUGAAUGCUUAUGAUAUGAAAGAUAUAAAAAAAAAAUUCAUGGCAGUCUUAUUUGUAGCCCCAAAUUGUUAAGAUAUUCAAUAUCCAUUUAUAGUAGAAAGGAUAAAUGGUGGUAUAAUCAUACAAACAAAUACGGACAAUUGGGGUGGGGUACAAAUAAAAAAAAAAAACAAUACAUGGGUGACUCUCAGAGAUGUAAUGUUGAUCAAAAAACUCAGACACAAAAGUUCAUAUUAUAUGAUUCAGACACAAGAGUUCAUAUUAUAUGAUUCUAAUUGUAUAAAGUUCAAGAACAGGCAAAACUAACACAUAGUAAAAAAUGCCAUAGGCUGGUUUCUGUUGAACAGAAGUAGUACUGCCUAAGACAGACAGUCUCCUGGGAUAGUGUUAGUUAUGCUGGGUAUGCUGUGUGGAAAAAAAAAAAAAAAAGAAGAAGAAGAAGAAAGAAGGAAAAAGAAAAAUCACUGAACUAGCAAGUAAGAGUGCCUGUUUGACUACAUGAAAUUAUGGCUUGGUAAAAAGUUUGUUUUCUUUAGGAAACUUUUUUUUAAAGGGCCUUAAGUAUUUUGAGUCAGUUUCAAAAGAAUUACUUAAAACCAAUUCCUAUUUUGAAUUUACAUAAGUCUGUCUACUUAAUCCUACAACUAAACUUAAUUUAUUUGCAGUUUUUAAUCAAAAAUAGUAACGAGUUCAACUUUAUUCAAACAUACUCUUAAUUUUGAGAUUACAUGAUAAACUUUCAUAAAUGGAGAAUUCAUAAUGACCUUAAAAGUUUAAGAAUCCUUUGUAUAACUAAUAAACUAUUUGAAUGUAUCGUCAAUAUUUCCUUGUCAUAGUAAAUUCUUCGAUUUAAAAAGAUACCUUUCCAUGCUCAUGGAUUAGAAGAAUAUUGUUAAAAUGUCUAUAUUACCUCAAACAAUAUAUACAUUUAAUGCAAUCCCUAUCAAAAUACCAAUGGCAUUUUUCAUAGAACUAGAACAAAAAAAUUCUAAAAUUUAUACAAAAGAUCCCAAAAUGCCAAAGCAAUUUUGCAAAAGAAAAGUACAGCUGGAGGUAUAAUUCCAGACUUCAAGUUACAUUACAAAGCUAUAGUAAUCAAAAGAGUAUGGUACUAGCACAAAAAUAGACACAUAGAUCAAUGGAACAUAACAGAGAGCCCAGAAAUAAACCCACAAUUAUAGGGUCAAUUAAUCCUUGACAAAGGGGCAAGAUUAUGCAGUGGGAAAAAGACAGUCUCUUUAACAAAUAGUGUUGAGAAAACUGGACAGCUACAUACAAAACAACGGACUAGACCACUUUCUUCCACCACAUACAAAAUGCACUCAAAAUAGAUUAAACCUAAAUGUGAUACUUGAAACUAUAAAAAUCCUAGAAGACAGCACAGGCAAUGAGGUCUCUGACAUUGGCCACAGCAAUAUUUUACUAGACACAUCUCCUGAGGCAAGAGAAAUAAAAGCAAAAAUAAACUAUUGGGACUACAUCAAAACAAAAAGCUUUAGCAAAGUGAAGGAAACAAUCAACAAAACUAGAAGGCAACCUAGUGAAUCAUGUGAAAAGAUAUUUGCAGAUGACAUAUGAGAUAAAGGGUUAGUAUCCAAAAUAUACAAAGAACGAUAUAACUCAACACCCAAAAAACAAUAAUCCAAUAAAAGAUGGGCAGAACACAUAAGCAGACAUUUCCCCAAAGAAGACAUCCUGAUGGCCAAAGACACAUGAAAAGAUGCUUGUCUUCACUCAUCAUCAGGGAAAUGCAAACCCAAGUUACAAUGGGAUAUUGCCUUACACUUGUCAGAAUGGCUAAAAUCAAAAACACAACAAGCAACAAGUGUUGGAGAGGAUAUGGAGAAAAAUGAACCUCUUAGGUUCUGUGGAAAACAGUGCAGAGGUUCUUCAAAAAGUUAAAAAUAGAACUAUCUACCUUAGGAUCCAGUAAUCCCAUUACUGGGAUGCAAGACUUGAUCUCAUAACCCUGAGAUCAUGACCUGAGUGAAAAUCAAGAGCUAGACGCUUAACCAACUGAGGUACCCAGCCACCCCCCAAAACCAGAUUUCUUUUAUUGACUUACAAAAAAUUCUGAAUUACCCAUAUUGAAAUAUAUCCCUCUCCUCCAUUUUAAACAUCAACUAGUUAAUCAAUAUCUGAAGCUUAAAGAAAAAUAAAUAACAAAAUGCAACAUAAUUUUCUUUCUAUAAUUGAAAAGGCUUAACUACAUUUUAAAAAAUAGAGCAACAGACAAAAUACAAUACCUUCUGGAUGUGUUUCUCCUGACUGUUAAAAUAAUGGGUCCUGAGAACAGAGUUCUGAAAUAGCUCACAGUCCAAAAACUCCCUGAAAAUUAAGAAAAAUAAAUAUUACUUCAAGUGCAUCUUAUCUCAAAGAAUUUCAGUGGCAUGUUUUACAAUGAAAUCUUAACUACUAAAAUAAAUUAUCUUAAAAAAUAACACAAAAGAUGUAAAAUAAAAAAUAGUUUUCAUUAUACAUGCUUUCCUUGGGCAUAGCUGUUGACCGCAACUGAUGACCCAUUAUAAAAUUAUUUACCAAAAUAUACUGUCUUUAUAUACAUAAACACUAUCACCUAUUCUCAAGGUGAGAAGUUAAUGGUGAUGAAGAGAAAUUCUGAUCAAGGAUUCUGAGAGAAAAGGUAUUAGGAUUAUUUGGUAGUCAAUACAGAGUUUGAACCACCUCUUUUUUUCCCUCUCUCUAGAUCACCAGGAACAAAAAAAUGUUAAACUGAGAAUUAGAAGCCUUCAGAUACAGAAUGACAUCAACCAUAUAGGAAAGUUCAUAACUCCAGAAAUAAAAAAGUAGGUGAAAAGUUUUGACCAGCAAGAGACACAGCCUCUACUUUAAUACUGUGGUGGCAGAGGAGGCUUUAUAUUGAUCAAUAGGCUAAUGGACAGUGAAGCUGGUUGGUGAUAAGGAAGGCGUGAUGCAGAUACCCUGAUUCCAUUAUAGCAACUUCGACUUCCCAAAAUAAAGGAGCUACUUUUCAUUGUUAUUUCAUUUUACCCGUACCUGUCAGUUUCCCUAAAACCAUACAGGGGAACCAAACUUCUUUUAGUAAUGCUUUCUCAACACCCUACCAAAGCAGGCUCUUUGACCAUUGUGCUUCCAGAUCAUUUUCUCUGCCUCAUGCUUACUAUUAUUCUCAUUGUAAUUGUGAACCAACCCUUUAUUCAUCUGUGAAUCCUCCAACACUUAACAUGGUGCAAGGCCAAGAGCUGAUGUGCAGUAAGUACCUACUCAACAAAGUGAAUCUUAAAGACUUUAUCAAUUAAUAUGCCAUGCUGAAGUAAGAAUAAUCCAUAAAAGGAAAGAGGGUAAUUAUACAGGUCAACUACAAUGAAGAGUAGCUGCCCUUCUUCUAAUUACUUCUCACACACACACACACACACACACACACACACACACACACACAUAUAUAUACACACAGUUCUUCAUCAGCAAAAUUCUUCUAGUAUCUAUGUCAAUGCUCUCCCAACCCUUACAAUCAGCCUGGUAGGAUAGCAGAUCUCCUUUCUGAACCAGGACUCUAAUCAUGCUGUCUGAGGUCCUGCACCAACUGGCAUGAUAACUGGACAUUAACACAAAUCCUCUAAGCACAUACAUCAGCUGCUCCUAAGCAACCCUCCAUCAGCAGCAGGAAAUGUCUCCUACAUGUAUGAGUCAAAGAUACCUAGAAUCAUAACUAAGGGUAGAAUGUUCCCAAAAUUUUACAAGUAGACAGAAGGUAUCAUCUUAAAAUAGAACUAUAACUAUUAGAAAUAACAAACAAACAAAAACCCUGAAAAGACCUCCCAGUGGUUUAAAGAAAAAAAAAAAAAAGCAUUAUCAUUUCCUAUUAGGACAUUACUUUUUCAGCAGCUAAAUAAAAACAUUACCAAAUCAUUUUAUGUAAUAAAAUUUAACCUUAUUUUGACCUUCCUCAUAAAGCAAACAAAUCUCUCUAUCCAAUAAGGUUCCAUCUGAACUAUGUAAGAUGAUAAGCAAUACCUUAAUUGCAUUCAUUUACAUGACUUUGAAACUAUUCUGGGCUGAAGUCACUGACUGCAAGGUCACAGCAUACAAAAAAGUAAAGUGUACGCAAUUUGCUGAGGAGGAAUGAUCCACUUAGAAUGAUAGCACCUUCUCCCUCCCUCAUUAGAAGAUACCAAAUGCUUAAUGCAAUCAACAGGUGCAGAGUUCUCUUUUUGAAACAUAUUACAUAUAUACACACUGAUUUUAUAACUAUAAAUAUAUAGAUAUACUCAGAAUAUAUUUUAGAAUAAGUUCAUCAUAUAAUCAGUCUGCUUAAAUAGAGGUAAAAGACAAUCCACUAGCAUUUAAAAUCAAAAGAUGAAACAGAGCUAUUAUUUUUUCCAUUAUCUCAUAAAAUUUCUAACAACUAAAACUCAGAUAACAAAGUUAUAAUAAUUUUUAGGACAAUAACUACAAACACAGGAUCUAAGGUAUAUUAAGAGUUACUGCUUUCACGUUUUAUAACCUAAACAAGCGUAUGUUCAACUAUUUUGCUUAGAGAAGCAGACUUUACGUGUCUCAAAGUCAGUAAUACAACAUUAGUAAAAGGAAGGAAAUACAACAGACAGAAAUAGACUAUCACAGAUUAUAAAAGGCUAUGUAUAUUCUUUGAAAACCUCAGAAUAUAUCAAAACACACAAAAACAAGUUAACCCACCGGAAUAUUUCCCUGUAGUCUUAUCAAAUUCUAACACAAACUGGAAAAUAUUGGUACUUGAGUUUACUGGAGAAAAGAAAAGGAAACUAAAAUAGGAUCUAGGGGUGCUUUAAAAAGGUUUAUAUUAUUAGUACAAACGGAGAGCAGCAAAUAUUUAUUUCAGGUUUUAUAUAUCAUCACCAGAAUAUUCAUUUAAGAAGUUUCUGUCCAGAGGUGCCUGGACACCUAAGUCAGUUAAGCACCUGACUCUUGGUUUGGGCUCGGGCCAGGAUAUCAGGGUUCUAAGGUUGAGUACCACGUCAGGCUUGCACCAGAUGAGGAGCCCGCUUGGGACUCUUCUUUCUCCCUCUGCUUCUCCCUACCUCCUCUCUCUAGCUCUCAAAAAAAAAAAAAA
Molecule: long non-coding RNA, 5627 nt
Filed under: Canis lupus familiaris (dog)
Lineage: Eukaryota; Metazoa; Chordata; Mammalia; Carnivora; Canidae
Description: lncRNA (ENSCAFG00845023541.1)
Source: RNAcentral